CAUUACAAGUGAGGCUACCGAACGUUGGAAACAGCGGUUAGGAGCUUACACCCACCCGUGUUUACAUACUAUUGUUGCUUUGGCGGGCCGUGGCCUCCACUGCGGGCUCUGCUCGUGUGUGCCCGCCAGAGAACCAAACUCUGAAUGUUAGUGAUGUCCGAGUACUAUCUAAUAGUUAAAACUUUCAACAACGGAUCUCUUGGUUCUGGCAUCGAUGAAGAACGCAGCGAAAUGCGAUAAGUAAUGUGAAUUGCAGAAUUCAGUGAAUCAUCGAAUCUUUGAACGCACAUUGCGCCCUGUGGUAUUCCGCAGGGCAUGCCUGUUCGAGCGUCAUUUAACCACUCACGCCUAGCGUGGUAUUGGGGCACGCGGUCUCCGCGGCCCUCAAAAUUAGUGGCGGCGCCGGUGGGCUCUAAGCGUAGUACAUACUCCCGCUAUAGAGUUCCCCCCGGUGGCUCGCCAGAACCCCCAAUUUUUACAGGUUG
RNAcentral lists this ribosomal RNA (485 nucleotides) under uncultured fungus. RNAcentral's name for it is "eukaryotic LSU rRNA". The stretch from base 180 to 333 matches the Rfam family "5.8S ribosomal RNA". Lineage: Eukaryota; Fungi. The record is from RNAcentral.